ACUCCUACGGAAGGCAGCAGUGGGGAAUAUUGCACAAUGGGCGAAAGCCUGAUGCAGCAACGCCGCGUGAGUGAUGAAGGCCUUCGGGUCGUAAAGCUCUUUGAUCAGGGAUGAUAAUGACAGUACCUGAAAAACAAGCCACGGCUAACUACGUGCCAGCAGCCGCGGUAAU
This 172-nucleotide ribosomal RNA is filed under the name uncultured bacterium. Its description in RNAcentral is "partial 16S ribosomal RNA". It matches the Rfam family "Bacterial small subunit ribosomal RNA", at positions 335 to 524 of the family's 1533-position model. The record is from RNAcentral.